AUUGAACGCUGGCGGCAGGCCUAACACAUGCAAGUCGAACGGUAACAGGAAGAAGCUUGCUUCUUUGCUGACGAGUGGCGGACGGGUGAGUAAUGUCUGGGAAACUGCCUGAUGGAGGGGGAUAACUACUGGAAACGGUAGCUAAUACCGCAUAACGUCGCAAGACCAAAGAGGGGGACCUUCGGGCCUCUUGCCAUCGGAUGUGCCCAGAUGGGAUUAGCUAGUAGGUGGGGUAACGGCUCACCUAGGCGACGAUCCCUAGCUGGUCUGAGAGGAUGACCAGCCACACUGGAACUGAGACACGGUCCAGACUCCUACGGGAGGCAGCAGUGGGGAAUAUUGCACAAUGGGCGCAAGCCUGAUGCAGCCAUGCCGCGUGUAUGAAGAAGGCCUUCGGGUUGUAAAGUACUUUCAGCGGGGAGGAAGGGUGUAAAGUUAAUACCUUUGCUCAUUGACGUUACCCGCAGAAGAAGCACCGGCUAACUCCGUG
This 490-nucleotide ribosomal RNA is filed under the name uncultured bacterium. RNAcentral's name for it is "partial 16S ribosomal RNA". It matches the Rfam family "Bacterial small subunit ribosomal RNA", at positions 30 to 507 of the family's 1533-position model. The record is from RNAcentral.